Molecule: long non-coding RNA, 2543 nt
Organism: Homo sapiens (human)
Lineage: Eukaryota; Metazoa; Chordata; Mammalia; Primates; Hominidae
Exons: 3
Source: RefSeq, a predicted model, not a curated record
AAUGCCAUCAGAGGUGCCUCUCCAGGGAGACCAGAGAUCAAACAGGCCGCGAUGCUCACCCUCCCUCAGCGGCAUGGUCCCGUCCCUUGCGUGCUUCACUGAGACGGACCUCGCUCUUUUGGCCCUAGCUGCGUGGCAGUCAUUCAAGCUGCAGGAUCUAGAACUGGGCUGCCUGGGUUUGAAUCCUUGAUUCUCUCUCCCCAGCUGCAUGACCACAGGCAGAGAGCUCCAAGAGGGCACAUUCGGGUCUGGUCAUAGCUGUGCACUUGAAUCCCAUCAAGAGGCUGGAAUGGAGUAGAGGCCUCAGUGUACACGGCUGCAGGAGACUAGGUAGAAAGGUGAGCUGGACUCAUGGCCAGGUGCUAGCUAAUAUAGCCCCUGCAUGAGAGAAGAGAGGCCUCAUCCCCGGUUCAGUCCUUGGCUCCUCACGCUCUCUUGAUGGAGCAGGGCCCCUGAAAAGGUGGAAGUCAUCUUCUUCCGUGAUCGUAAGCAAUCCCUCGCCUGGUUCAAGGUAAACAGUGGUAUGGGGGGAGAAUUGGGGCUCUGGGAUCAGACAUAUCUGCAGCCCAAUCUUGGCUCUUUACACAGCAGCUGUGGCCUUAGGCAUGUCUUUUAUAACCUCUCUGAACCUCAGUUUCUUCAUCUGUAAAAAAUGAGCUAAUUUCUCCCUUGCCUGUUAGGAAUUUUUCUACCUACCUUGUGAGGAUUAGUGAUAAUGGCUGUAACGUCUUUAGUACAGGUCUAGUACACAGAAGGUACUGGAUAGAAGUAAGCUCUUCUCUCCAUUUAGAACUUACCCCUACGAGCAGGGGAACUGGACAGUCUGUGAGAACCCUCAGAUUCUCAGAAGAGAAAGGCUCCAUGAAUCAGAGUAUCAGCAUCUCACCAUUAGCAGCAACAAUAUUAGCAUUUUAAAGAACUGCAGGAGACAAUGUUUGGCACACAGGGAGGAACAAGAGCUGUCUGAGGCAGAAGGAUUUUUGGGGCUUCUCUGAUUCAGCCUCCUCGUUUGUCACAUGAGAUCUCUGAUGCCUAGAGAUGGGCAGUGACUUGCCAAGGCCACAAAGCCAGUCAGGAGCAGAGCUGGAACUAAAAAUUCAUGUCUCGCUCUCAUGGCACCUCUGCCAUACCAUGUCUCUCUAGAAGGUGGGCUGAGCAGCCACACAAUUUCAACUCUUAGGCAGGGCUGGUCUUCGCUUGAGUGCCCCACCCAGGCCCUAGUGCAGAGGGGCUAAGUUGCACCUACUGGAUGAAUGAAUGUACACAUGCGGGAGCAGGAAGCCGAGGAAUGACCAGCUAGCCUCUGGGCCCUUGCUUUCUGCUGUUCACAGUCCCCCUUAUCUCCAGGUGUCCCCCCGCUCCAUCCUGGCCCAAGGUGACUCACCUCAUCAAACAGCUGCAGCAUGAUGGUGAGCACAUCUGGAUGGGCCUUGUCUACUUCAUCAAAGAGCACCACAGCAUUGGGGCACUGCUUCAACUUCUUGGUCAGCUGGCCACCCUCCUCAUGGCCAACGUAGCCUGGUGGAGACCCAAUAAACUUGGCCACCUGGUAGAAGGAAGGAAACAUGCUAGGAAGGCCUUUCUGUGCUUUUAGUUUCCAACAUGGGGCAUGCAUGGGAAGAUGACUUUAUACGCUAUUAAGGUUGCCUCUCUCAACAGAGAUGAUUGGCUGUCCAUCUCCUGGUGUGGCAGAUAGAUCUUCUCUAUGUUUAUUCUUCAGAGCAAAUCCUAUGUGAAACAAAUCAGUGACCCUGCUGCACACCUGUGCUCCCAACGACAAAUCCCAAGGCUGCUGGAAUUAUCUGAGGCCCAAAUGACAAGACCCCGGCAGUCAUGCUGACAAGCCCUCCAAACCAUGCUUCAAUCAAGGACUGUCAUCACUCACCUCGUGUCGCUCCUGGAACUCGGACAUGUCCAGCCUGAUGAAGCCCUGUGUGGAAACAAGCAAGUACCAACUCCGUUUGGAGGCAGGAAAGUGAAGAGAAGGGUUAGGGAGGAGAGCACCUCAACUAUCCCCAAGGCUUUCACACCACACCAACAUAAGAUCUUCUAUCUCACGCUCAAGAUGUUUUUUUCUGACUUCCUGUCUCCUUUUCUGUGCACUCAUUUCCUACGAGUCCCUCAUUCUCUUCCUUAAAAGACCCAAAUCAUGUACCUGACCUUCUAAAUCUGACUUGGGGUGUCUUCUUUCAGGGAGGCCUCUCCUGUUCUGAUCACCACAUCAUCCACCCACCCAUCCAUCCAUUCCACGUUUCCUGAGGGCAUCCUGUGUGUGCUGGACACCGGAGUUACAACAGGGAACAAGUCUUGGUCUCUGUCCUUAAGAAGCACCCCAUCGAAUGGUGCAGACAUGGACAAAGUCAGUCACGAUCAGUGUGGACUGUGGUGCGAGGGAGGAGAGAAACACUCAGAUGGCUCCAGAAUGCCUCUCAACUCUGCAAGUCUGUGUGAUGCCCGUGUCCCUUUGAUUUACUUUUCUUCAAAAUGAAUAUAUUUUAAAAUGUAUUUACAUUUCUUCAUUUCAUUAAAAAAGAUAUCCAUAA